AGGUGUGGGUAGGGGAGAAAUUCCAAUCGAACCCGGAGAUAGCUGGUUCUCCUCGAAAUAGCUUUAGGGCUAGCCUCAUUUUAGUCUUAUGGAGGUAGAGCACUGAAUUUCCGCGGGGGCGUCAAAGCUUACCAAAGAAUAUCAAACUCCGAAUGCCAUGUAGAUGAUGAAUGGGAGUCAGACUGCACGAGAUAAGUUGGGUGGUCAAAAGGGAAAGAGCCCAGACCUACAGCUAAGGUCCCAAAGUGCGUGUUAAGUGGAAAAGGAUGUGGGAUUUCAAAGACAACCAGGAUGUUGGCUCAGAAGCAGCCAUACAUUCAAAGAGUGCGUAACAGCUCACUGGUCGAGAGGUCCUGCGCCGAAAAUGUCCGGGGCUGAAACACGACACCGAAGCUUAGGAAUCACGAUGUGAUUGGUAGAGGAGCAUUCUUAAGACCGACGAAGCUGUACCGGAAGGAGCAGUGGAGGGAUAAGAAGAGAGAAUGCCGGAAUGAGUAGCGAGAGGAAGGUGGGAAUCCUUCCGGCCGAAUAUCUAAGGUUUCCAGAGUAAAGCUGAUCUGCUCUGGGUAAGUCGGGGCCUAAGGAGAGGUCGAAAGACGUAUCCGAUGGACAACAGGUUUAGAUUCCUGUACCACAUAUAAACAGAACUGUGGGGACGCAUGUGGAAAGCAUAAGCCGGGAAUGGAAAUACCGGUACAAGCGGAAGAGGUGUCAGGCUGGCAAAUCCGCCUGAUAAGCCAAAGACGUGAUGUGUAGCGAAAUAAAAGUAGCGAAGUGUGUGAGCCAUGUGCCGAGAAAAGCCGCUAUUGUUUUAUAUGUGCCCGUACCGUAAACCGACACAGGUGGAUGAGGAGAGAAUCCUAAGGCCGACGGAAGAAGCAUUGUUAAGGAACUCGGCAAAAUGACCCCGUAACUUCGGGAGAAGGGGUGCCCACUUCAGGGUGGGCCGCAGAGAAUAGGCUCAAGCAACUGUUUAGCAAAAACACAGGUCUAUGCGAAACCGUAAGGUGAAGUAUAUGGGCUGACGCCUGCCCGGUGCUGGAAGGUUAAGAGGAGAGGUUAGUCGCAAGAUGAAGCUUUGAAUUUAAGCCCCAGUAAACGGCGGCCGUAACUAUAACGGUCCUAAGGUAGCGAAAUUCCUUGUCGGGU
This 1149-nucleotide ribosomal RNA is filed under the name human gut metagenome. Its description in RNAcentral is "bacterial LSU rRNA". It matches the Rfam family "Bacterial large subunit ribosomal RNA", at positions 807 to 1977 of the family's 2925-position model. The record is from RNAcentral.